UAGGGAAUAUUGGGCAAUGGGCGCAAGCCUGACCCAGCCAUGCCGCGUGGAGGAUGAAGGCCUUCGGGUCGUAAACUCCUUUUCUGAGGGAAGAAUAGCCUGUGCAGGAAAUGGUAUGGGUAUGACGGUACCUCAGGAAUAAGCAACGGCCAACUCCGUGCCAGCAGCCGCGGUAAUACGGAGGUUGCAAGCGUUGUUCGGAAUUACUGGGCGUAAAGGGAGCGCAGGCGGCCAAGUCAGUCUGAAGUGAAAUCCCGGGGCUUAACCUCGGAAGUGCUUUGGAUACUACUUGGCUAGAGUACGUGAGAGGUGAGCGGAAUUCCAGGUGUAGCGGUGAAAUGCGUAGAUAUCUGGAGGAACACCCGUGGCGAAAGCGGCUCACUGGCGCGUAACUGACGCUGAGGCUCGAAAGCGUGGGGAGCAAACGG
Molecule: ribosomal RNA, 428 nt
Filed under: uncultured bacterium
Lineage: Bacteria
Description: bacterial SSU rRNA
Rfam family: Bacterial small subunit ribosomal RNA
Source: RNAcentral